UACGAACUGUGCAAACGUUAUUCGGAUUCACUGGGCUUAAAGGGUGCGUAGGCGGCCAUGUAAGUAGGGUGUGAAAUCCCCCGGCUUAACCGGGGAACUGCGCCCUAAACUGUGUGGCUUGAGUGAGAUAGGGGUGUGUGGAACUUCCGGUGGAGCGGUGAAAUGUGUUGAUAUCGGAAGGAACGCCGGUGGCGAAAGCGACACACUGGGUCUCAACUGACGCUGAGGAGCGAAAGCGUGGGGAGCGAACAGG
RNAcentral lists this ribosomal RNA (253 nucleotides) under uncultured bacterium. Its description in RNAcentral is "partial 16S ribosomal RNA". It matches the Rfam family "Bacterial small subunit ribosomal RNA", at positions 524 to 776 of the family's 1533-position model. The record is from RNAcentral.